CGUGAAUCUUGAUAUGAAAGGUAUAAUUGUCGGUUGUAAAAUUGUUUGUAAUAUUUCUCGUAGAAAAAACAAAAAACAGUUUUCUUUUGGGUUAAUUUUGGAUCCUUAAUUGAUUUCAAUCCAAAAACCACAAUUCACUGUUUUAGUUAUUUUUUUCUUUCUUUUUUAUUGGUCAAUCUCUGAACACAAGAUUAUCCAUUAAUUAUUUUUGAUCAUAUGACUAGGAAUCACAAAUCUCCCUUUCAUCCACCGUCGAUAUUUUUGUUUUUUGCUUUUCGGUUUCAGAUCUUAAGCAAAUCCCUUCUUCUCCUUCGAAUAUGUAUUUUCCUCAAUCACCACCACCAUGAAGAAGAACCAAGGCUCACCAUCCCCACCAUCACAUGACCUCUGUUUGUUCGCCGUCCCAGCAUCACCACCACGUGGAUAACGAAGAGGGAGUGGAGUCGGAGCUGUCCCGGAGUCAGAGCGGGAUAGCGUGGUUUGAAGCGUCGAUGGUGGAGGAGUACGUGAUGGUGAUUGAUAGAUCCGGUGAAGGAGGUGGCUGGAGUAAGCAAACAGACGAGGCCGGGCAAAGGAGAUGGAGGCACGAGGAGUUAGAUUUUUUUUUUGGGUUUAAUUUUUUUGGUUUACAUUUAAAUCAAUUUUUCUUUUUCUUUUUGUAUACCAGUUUUAAUUUAUGAAUAAUUUGUAAUUAUAUUUUAAUUAAUAAAUUAGUUUUAAUCUAUAAA
Raphanus sativus (radish) is the source of this 728-nucleotide long non-coding RNA. RefSeq lists it as uncharacterized. The transcript is spliced from 2 exons. Lineage: Eukaryota; Viridiplantae; Streptophyta; Magnoliopsida; Brassicales; Brassicaceae. The record is from RefSeq and is a predicted model, not a curated record.